RNAcentral lists this ribosomal RNA (252 nucleotides) under uncultured bacterium. RNAcentral's name for it is "partial 16S ribosomal RNA". It matches the Rfam family "Bacterial small subunit ribosomal RNA", at positions 525 to 776 of the family's 1533-position model. The record is from RNAcentral.
ACGGAGGGUGCAAGCGUUAAUCGGAAUUACUGGGCGUAAAGCGCGCGUAGGCGGCUUGAUAAGUCAGAUGUGAAAGCCCCGGGCUCAACCUGGGAACUGCAUUUGAUACUGUCUAGCUAGAGUAUGGUAGAGGGGGGUGGAAUUCCCGGAGUAGCGGUGAAAUGCGUAGAUAUCGGGAGGAACACCAGUGGCGAAGGCGGCCCCCUGGACCAAUACUGACGCUGAGGUGCGAAAGCGUGGGGAGCAAACAGG